This 424-nucleotide ribosomal RNA is filed under the name uncultured Methylophilus sp. RNAcentral's name for it is "bacterial SSU rRNA". It matches the Rfam family "Bacterial small subunit ribosomal RNA", at positions 67 to 485 of the family's 1533-position model. Lineage: Bacteria; Pseudomonadati; Pseudomonadota; Betaproteobacteria; Nitrosomonadales; Methylophilaceae. The record is from RNAcentral.
CAGCAUAGAGAGCUUGCUCUCUGAUGGCGAGUGGCGAACGGGUGAGUAAUAUAUCGGAACGUGCCUAGUAAUGGGGAAUAACUAGCUGAAAGGUUAGCUAAUGCCGCAUACGACCUACGGGUGAAAGCAGGGGAUCUUCGGACCUUGCGUUAUUAGAGCGGCCGAUAUCUGAUUAGCUUGUUGGUGGGGUAAUAGCCUACCAAGGCGACGAUCAGUAGCUGGUCUGAGAAGACGAUCAGCCACACUGGAACUGAGACACGGUCCAGACUCCUACGGGAGGCAGCAGUGGGGAAUUUUGGACAAUGGGGGCAACCCUGAUCCAGCCAUUCCGCGUGAGUGAAGAAGGCCUUCGGGUUGUAAAGCUCUUUCGCAAGAGAAGAAAACUUACUAUCUAAUAAAUGGUAAGUAUGACGGUAUCUUGACA